RNAcentral lists this transfer RNA (63 nucleotides) under Aleurocanthus spiniferus (citrus spiny whitefly). RNAcentral's name for it is "tRNA-Cys". RNAcentral also lists the same sequence under 1 other name. Lineage: Eukaryota; Metazoa; Arthropoda; Insecta; Hemiptera; Aleyrodidae. The record is from RNAcentral.
AUAUUAAUAGUUAAUAAAUAACAUUAAAAUGCAAUUUUAAAGUAAAUUAAAUAUUUUAAUAUA